GAGGGUAUAGCUCAGUGGUACAGUGCAUGCUUAGCACACACAAGGUCCUGGGUUCAAUUCCUAGUACCUCCA
Molecule: transfer RNA, 72 nt
Filed under: Camelus bactrianus (Bactrian camel)
Lineage: Eukaryota; Metazoa; Chordata; Mammalia; Artiodactyla; Camelidae
Also listed under: 3 other names
Rfam family: tRNA
About the family: Transfer RNA (tRNA) molecules are approximately 80 nucleotides in length. Their secondary structure includes four short double-helical elements and three loops (D, anti-codon, and T loops). Further hydrogen bonds mediate the characteristic L-shaped molecular structure. tRNAs have two regions of fundamental functional importance: the anti-codon, which is responsible for specific mRNA codon recognition, and the 3' end, to which the tRNAs corresponding amino acid is attached (by aminoacyl-tRNA synthetases). tRNAs cope with the degeneracy of the genetic code in two manners: having more than one tRNA (with a specific anti-codon) for a particular amino acid; and 'wobble' base-pairing, i.e. permitting non-standard base-pairing at the 3rd anti-codon position.
Source: Rfam by way of RNAcentral